This 95-nucleotide long non-coding RNA is filed under the name Ictidomys tridecemlineatus (thirteen-lined ground squirrel). Its description in RNAcentral is "lncRNA (ENSSTOG00000032204.1)". Lineage: Eukaryota; Metazoa; Chordata; Mammalia; Rodentia; Sciuridae. The record is from RNAcentral.
AGGAUAAUCGCUGAUGGCCACCCACAGGUGGCAAGGUCAUCUUUAUCUGAGGCCACCUGCACACUCCAGUAGCUUGCUGAGGACCUCUGGCUUCU